GACGAACGCUGGCGGCGUGCUUAACACAUGCAAGUCGAACGGAAAGGCCCUGCUUUUGUGGGGUGCUCGAGUGGCGAACGGGUGAGUAACACGUGAGUAACCUGCCCUUGACUUUGGGAUAACUUCAGGAAACUGGGGCUAAUACCGGAUAGGAGCUCCUGCUGCAUGGUGGGGGUUGGAAAGUUUCGGCGGUUGGGGCUGGACCCGUGGCUUAUCAGCUUGUUGGUGGGGUAGUGGCUUACCAAGGCUUUGACGGGUAGCCGGCCUGCGAGGGUGACCGGCCACCUUGGGACUGAGAUACUGCCCAGACUCCUACGGGAGGCAGCAGUGGGGAAUAUUGCACAAUGGGCGGAAGCCUGAUGCAGCAACGCCGCGUGCGGGAUGACGGCCUUCGGGUUGUAACCCGCUUUCGCCUGUGACGAAGCGUGAGUGACGGUAAUGGGUAAAGAAGCACCGGCUAACUACGUG
RNAcentral lists this ribosomal RNA (468 nucleotides) under uncultured bacterium. Its description in RNAcentral is "partial 16S ribosomal RNA". It matches the Rfam family "Bacterial small subunit ribosomal RNA", at positions 28 to 507 of the family's 1533-position model. The record is from RNAcentral.